UACGAAGGGGGCGAGCGUUGUUCGGAAUUACUGGGCGUAAAGGGCGCGUAGGCGGCCGAUCAAGUUAGAUGUGAAAGUCCUGGGCUCAACCUGGGGACUGCAUUUGAUACUGAUUGGCUUGAAUCCGGGAGAGGAUAGCGGAAUUCCCAGUGUAGAGGUGAAAUUCGUAGAUAUUGGGAAGAACACCAGUGGCGAAGGCGGCUAUCUGGACCGGUAUUGACGCUGAGGCGCGAAAGCGUGGGGAGCGAACAGG
RNAcentral lists this ribosomal RNA (253 nucleotides) under uncultured bacterium. RNAcentral's name for it is "partial 16S ribosomal RNA". It matches the Rfam family "Bacterial small subunit ribosomal RNA", at positions 524 to 776 of the family's 1533-position model. The record is from RNAcentral.